Prosopis cineraria is the source of this 1821-nucleotide long non-coding RNA. RefSeq lists it as uncharacterized. NCBI's taxonomy places the organism in Eukaryota, Viridiplantae, Streptophyta, Magnoliopsida, Fabales, Fabaceae. The record is from RefSeq and is a predicted model, not a curated record. The transcript is spliced from 5 exons.
UCUGAUUGUACUAUGUUGAAAGGAGACAUGCCUAAUAAGCUUCCAUCAUUAACAGAGGUUUCUAUUUCAAAUUGCAAAAUGUUGGAGGCAAAAUCAACAACUUUGCAUUGGAGUGCAUCUAUCGAAGAACUAGCAAUUGUGCAAGGGGAACAGGGGUUAUUAGGAGCUCUUGAUUAUUAUUCUCUGGACUCUUUGAAAUCUAUAACAAUUCAGAAGUGUGAUUGCUUGCGGUCAUUGCCAAGAAUGAUAAUGGAUAGCCACGUUCUUGUAGAUUUGUCUCUCAAUGAUAUCCCAACAAUCAUGUCCUUUCCAAUUAAAGGUUUACCUGCUUCUUUGCAACGUCUUACAAUUGAAAAUUGUGAGAAGUUAGAGUUCUUACCUCAGGAAUCUUUACAAAACUGCACAUCACUUGAACACUUGAGGAUUGUGAAUAGUUGUCAUUCCUUGGUAUCCUUCCCAUUAGGUUGUUUUCCCAAGCUUAAAACCCUUGACAUUAGCGAAUGUCAUAAUUUGGAGACCUUUACAAAUGUUGGGGGGUCUGCUCUUCCCUUAGAAUUUUUUCAAAUUGAAAGAUGCAAGAAACUUAGAUCACUGUCAGAAGUACGCAUUGAUUCCCUUGCCAACCUUCGAUCUUUUGAUCUAAGAAGGCUUCCAAAUUUGGAAUCAUUGCCUCAAAGGUGGUUUUCCUUCUAAUUUACGAUCUUUGGAAAUUAGUGGAUGUGAGGGACUAUCUUGUAUGCCAAUUGAAGAUUGGGGUUUUCAACGGUUACUUCUCUCUCAACAUUAUGGGUUAGUGGUGAUGGAAGUGAAACUAUACUCCAUAAUUUACUAAACAAUCAAUUACUGCCCAACUCUCUUGUGGAUAUCUACGUAAGGGAUUUCUCUAAUCUUAAACGGUUAGAUCGAAAAGGGCUUCAGCACCUUACUUCUCUCGAACAACUCUCCAUUUAUAGCUGUCCAAACCUUGAAUCCUUGCCAGAAGAUGCGCUGCCACCCUCCCUUCUUCGACUAUAUAUCGGCAAGUGUCCUAAAUUAGAAGAAAGAUAUAAUUUUGAAGGAGGAAAACACUUGUCUGACAUCUCUCUUAUUCCAACCGUAUCAAUUAAUGGUGAAGUACUAUGAUCUUUGAGAUGGUGCGGCAUUGCGUCAAAAGGUUAAAGAAGAUGAGGAAGCAGUCAAAAAGAGACAAAUAUGAUAUGCAGGGAAGGCAGGCAAGAAGCUAACCCAGACAUUGUUGAGGCUAAGUACAGGUCAGAAAAUGUGAAAGAAGCUCACAAGAAUUGCUCCACUUUCAGCACCAAGAGCUGGUGAAGAAAUCAGUUAGAAUUGCUCUGUUUUAAACAGAGUCAUAUGAGAAGCAAAGAAGGCAGUUGUGCAGAAACUUGAUUCUAGUGUGUUGCUUCCUUCACAAUUGUCACGAGGCAGAAUUGAAUUUCCUCAUCAAUUUCUGUGUUACCUCAACAACAAUAAACACAACAAAGGCAUGAUAUCUAGAUUUAAUAUUAGAUACUUAGUUCAGUUUAUUGAGAUUAUUAGUGUUUUAAUGAACACUCUUUUAAUUUACCUGGACAUUCCUUUGCAUUGAUUAAUUCGCCACUUGCAAUUCCCAUAUGCUCAUUUUAUUAUAUUAAGACAAUGUCUUAAAAUGAAUAUGAUAUUUUGAUUUUGAUAAAUCAGGUCAAAAAUAGAUGUGUGGUUUUACAUAGAGCAAAUUAAGAGUUGAUAAGAAAGUAACGAACCCUAUAUAUGUUCAUAUAUAUAGAGUCUUGUAAUUUGUAACUAAGCAUGUUUUUUAAUGCAUUACUUUAAAUAAUAUGUUGU